GCAGUUAUCUAUGAAUGU
This 18-nucleotide small nuclear RNA is filed under the name Arabidopsis thaliana (thale cress). RNAcentral describes it as "snRNA_07417". The record is from RNAcentral. Lineage: Eukaryota; Viridiplantae; Streptophyta; Magnoliopsida; Brassicales; Brassicaceae.